CCAUGGUCAACGUCUUAAUUGACUCAAAGUCAACUCUCCAUAAAUCAAAAAGUCAAGCUUCAUUGUGGGUACAAGCAGCUUUACAAACUAACCUUGCAAAGUUUACUUUGUUUACAAUGGAAGAAAAUCAAAAAAUUCCACAAGCCGAGCGAAAUUAUCAUAUUGUCCUUGACACCGAGAAAAUUCAAGUGGAAAACCGGUUACCUGAAAACAAGAAAAGCCCGAAAACAAACGAACCGGUUGCUUCUACAACACGGUGUGUUGGCCCUACCAUGAAAAAAGAAAGGAUAGAAUUGUCAAAUGGAAGUAGUCGAUUAAAGGAAACGGCUAACUUAGCUGAAAAACUACUUUUGGCAUCGAGGAAAUGGUUUUUGAAUUACUUGGAAGUUUCUUUAAACAAGGGGUUUAAAUUGACGAAAGGAGAAGAGUCGGGGGUAGCAAUUUGUCUUUUGGGACAACUCAAAAGGGUUAAUCAAUGGCUCGAUGAUUCGGUUAUUGGGGACGAAAAGGUGGAAAAUUUAAGGAAGAAAUUAUAUACUUUUUUGCUUGAGCAUGUUCGGAAGUAGAUUUUGCUAAAAAAAGUUAUUCUUCCGGGACCCUGUGGACCAUACGGACUAUACUGUCAGUAUCAUGAGAGAUGUAAAUCAGAUGUUAUCUGGUAGUUUAGGUCAAAAACAAAUGACUAAUGACUAAAGAUGUGAAGGUGUAGGUGGCUCUAACUAAAACUAAUGGAAGAUGGAGAAAGAUAAGUAGGAGAAGAAAUUAAUUAAUGUAGCUUUUCAUUUUUAUUUUGAGCAAAAUGUAUGCAUAACUUGCUACUACUUUAAUUUGACCACUAGAAUGGUGAAGAAAAUGAUGCAUUUAGUUUGGUUUAGAGGCGUUUUGUGUUUAUGUGUGAUUCAAGCUUUUGGUUGAAUACCCGUUAUUUGAUGGUGAUUUCUUAGUGGAAAGUUGUAAUGGUGAAUUCUAUAGGGUUGAAUUGAAGAAAUAGCAAUGUACUUUUGUUGAGGUAUUUAUUAUAACAUUGUAUUUUGAAAAUACUUUCUAAUUAUAGUAAUCUACCCUAAUAAAUAAGAAUGAUUUUGUCACAUGUUAUUCUCUCAUUUAAUUGGACACAUGUCAUUUUGUCAUAAUUUUAAGAUAUAUUUAUUUUCCACUUGUCAUUUAUUUCAUUUUUCAUUUUUAAUAUAUCAUUAAUUUAGUUUCCAUAAAUUAAACCUACCAUAACUAUUAAUUUUAAAUUUUAAACUUUAAAUUUCAAUUUCAAUUUCAAUUUCAAAUAAAUUUACAGUUUAACCUUUGUGUUUAAUAUUUUGUUAUAGUUAAUCAUUUUAAUACACGAGUUUGAUAACUAAAUACAAAAUUUUUAUUUAUUUAUUUUUUGCAUGUUUUUUCUUAUAAUUUUCAAAUUCAAAUAAACUUCCAAUUUAAUUGUUCAUACUUAACAUUUUCUUUUAAUCAACCUGUAUAAUAUAUGGGUCUUACAACUAGUGUCUUAUAUUUGCAAAACAGUCGUCACAAUUUUAAUAGGGUGGAUAUUAUAAUAUGCCAGCAAAAAGGAAAAAUAUUAAAUGAAACCUUUUAUUUGAUAUAUUUUUAAAAGCAGAAGUUAAUUUUUCUUAUAAGGAUAUUCAUUAUGGUUAUAAAAUUUUCCAAAGCAACAUAUAUUUUUAAUUAUAUAUUUUUCUUGUAAGGACCAAUUUGUGAAUGAUUUAUAUUUUUAAUUAUAUUUUACAAAGCAACAUAUUGACAUAAAAUUUUCCAAUUUGUUGUUGCUUNNNNNNNNNNNNNNNNUUUUUUAAUAAAUUUGAUGGAUGGAAUGCAACCCUUCCAUCUAAACAUGCACAUUUGCGGUAUUGGGUUGUUCUUGACACGGUCCGGCUUUUAUACGGUCGGUUUCGGAGCGGUCUAGUUUUUUUUUUCGGACCGGUUUUGGGUCUUUUUUCGGAUCGGUCUUUUUCGAUGCUGUCUUUUUAGGGACCGAACACAGGAUUGGACACGGUCUUUUUAGGUACGAUCUCGCGGUCUUUCCGUGCGUCUUUUUCGGUUUUGUUUUAAGGUUUUUCAGGUUAUUUCAGCUUGGUUUCAGUAUGUGUUGUUUUUUUAGUUUCAAUUUCGAGUUUUUCCCUUAACAAAUAAGUGAUUAACACCAAAAUGAUAGAUUAAACUUUAUAAAAAAUGAUACAUUUUAAUAAAAGAAAAAAAAAGAAAAAAGAAAUGAAGUUAGAUAUUGUGUGAUUAAAAAUUAUGUAAUUUAGACAAAAAUGAUAUAUUUAUAAAUUUUGGCUUUCGUUUUUUUAGAUCGUUUUCAGACUGGUCUUGUGGCAAUCUGGGAGUGAUCCGAUCUUUUUCAGCAUCGGUAUUAGAACAGUUUUCUCGGACCGGUCCAACCUUUUUUAUGACCGGUCUUUUUCAGUCCGGUCUCGGUCUUUUUUCAGGUUCGAUCCAAGAUCACUCCUUUUGUGUAGGUCUACUUCCAUCACACUUACAUCCUAAUCAACUUUUCUCUUAUUUCUCUUCUAUAUUUUAUCCAACAAUACAUGAAAAUUGUAUUUUUUUUGCAUCCCAUUCAACCUAUCUUAUCAUUAUUUUUAAUUUAUAUAAAUUAAAAAAUGUAAAAUAAAUAAAAUAUAAAAAAUUUUCAAAUAAAAAAACUAAUACAAAUAAGAAAGAUCAAACUACAUGGUCCUUGUGGUUUGCAGAAAAUUGUUAUUUUGGUCCAAAAAAGUUUGGACUAACACCAUGUUAUACCUCUUAUAUUAGGCAAAUAAGUUAGUUAAGGGUAAUAUGGGAAAUCAUCUAAUUAAAGAGUAUCUUAUUAGUGGGAGGGGUAUUUUAGGCAUUUUAUAGUAUUAGUUGUUUUGUCAGAUAGUAUAAGAAUAGGGUAGUGGGCAGGGAGUGAUCUAUCUAUCUUUUAUGUGAAAGAUUUAUUCCUUGGGAGAUUGGCUAUCUCGAAUCAGCUAAACUAUAAUUUGUUCCUGUAAUCUUUUGGGUAUAUUUGAGGUUAUCAAUCAAUAUUUGAAGUUGUUGGUUGCUUUUAUGUUAUUGAAUCUGUUCUUGUAAGUCCAGUUCAUAACACACCACCGCUCCAACUUUUCAUUUUGUUGUGAGAUUGGUCCAAAUUUAUUUUGAUUUUUUUUAAAUGACGAUUUUGCCUUUUAUAUUUUCAUUUUCUAUUUUUUUAUAUUAUAAUAACUAAAAAAGAAAAAAAAAAAAGAAAAACGUAUAUGUAUUAUUACCCCUACCCCCUCUUUUUCUCUCUUUCAUUUAUAAAAAAAGAAACACCACCACCAUCUUAUUCCAGUGACCGAGGACUCCAACAAUGAGAGGAUUUCCAGCGUCGAAGAUGUUUUCUGACAACAAAACAAAUGGGUCUGUCAACCAGAAGGUUUUAUGUAAGAUUCUGUUUCUUGUUAUUUUUUUAUUUUAGGCCUGUGAACCGGAAUUGAAGUCAAUUGUAUAAAGGCUUUGGGUCUUAAGGAGGUAAUGUUUAGACCGUAAGAAGCUAGGAAUGUUUUGGGUUUAGUCUACUAUGUUGGGCGUAUAGGGUGUACGUUGGGUGUACUAGGCAUUGAUGAUCGUAUAGAUUUAACCUGGUACACUAGGAGUACACUGGGCGUAUGUGAUCAGAACCUAAACCCUAGUUUUCGGGCUUUAAGCCCUAUUUAAGAUCCUUAACUUCCCUAAACCCUUUACAUUCUCAGCCUCCACCUCUCCAACAUCCUCCCUUGAAACCCUAACCCUAGUUUGAGCCUCGUGAGCAAAAGAAGGUGUUUUGAAUGCUUUAGAGUGUUCUUGGUGCAUCUUGGAGAAGAAGAAGCUCAUUCGAGAAGUGUUGGUUGGAUUGGAGCUUGUAGAUCCAAACCUUGUUCACCUUGAUCUUUCCUAUGGAGGUAUAAAACUUGAAUCUUGAUGAUGCAUUUGUUAGAUCUAGCUAGUUUCGAGUAUUAUGAGCUUUUGAUCAAUUUAGUGCAUAAAGUUUAGAUCUUGAAAUCCUGUGACCUUGUUAUGGAUAAAGUUGGAAAGUUUAUCCAUCUAAUCAUCAUAUCGAUUUAGAUAUGAAGGUUGAAGACUUGGACUUAAUGGAUUAAGUUCAGAAAGAUGCACUUUUGGUCCCUUUGAGUCUUAAAGACUAAAUCUUGGAUGUUUGGACCAUCCUAAUAGAUAAACUUGGAACUUUAUCUAUUAUGGAGCUAUUAGGAACCAUAAAAAUGUGAUCUUGGUCCUUCUAUCCCUUCCAUGCAAGAGUUAUGAUGUCUUAAUGGAUUAAUAAGUUAGGGUUUUAGCUUUUGGACCUUUUCUAGCCAUGGAAAGUCAUAAAGAUGGAAACUUUAUGACUUAAGUCGAUGUUUCGAGUUAGAUCUAAGCUUUGGACAAAAGGACUUAGUGGAUAAAGUGCUUAAUGGAGGAUUGAGAAUAGGCCGCGUACGUUGGGCCUGAGUAUUCCAGCCCGAUGGCUGAUUGGACCCGCUGCAUGUUGGCUUUCCAGUCCGAGGAUUGAUUGGGCUUGGGCAUUCCAAUCCGAUGAUUGUGGGCCGUUAUUCAUGAUUGCAUGUUUAUCGUAUGAGGUAUUUUGGGGGAACUUAGUAAGCUUUGUGCUUACCAAAUUGUUUAUGUUUUUCAGGUUUGAUUGGUAACCGUGGGAAGGCGAAGGCAGGAUUGUACAUCCUCAUUAGCAACAUUGAGAAUUCCGUGUUUCUUAUAUUACUCUGAUUUUUUAAUAAAUGUAUUUUGGAAUAAACGGUUUUCUUAAUAAUGGAUUUAUAAUUGGGAAGUUUUAGUUUAAUAAAUUGAAAAUUUUUUGUUGUGAAAAUGGGACGUUACAUUUUUAGGAUACGAGGAGUGGUUUUCGAAGACGAAGAUCGACAGAGGUUUACAGAGGAAACAUUCCGGUGACUUAGGCUUCUGACAACAAGGAACCAAUCACCGUAGCAAACAAGUUUAGAUCUGUCCAUAUUGUCCGUCUUGUUCUGGUAGUGGUGGUUAGAUCGACAGUAGUGGAGACCCAAAAAUCAAAACAAGGGUUUGUUAGGGUUUUCAGAAGCGGCGAUAACACUGGAGGUUUUAUACAAAUGGUGGUGUCGUCUUGCUUCACCCCUUCAUUUUCAUUCUCACUUCACAACAGACAGAGGUGUAAUAAUGUCACACCCCCAAACCGGAACGACGGAAAUGUUCGGGGGUGGUUGUCGUCAUGCAUAGUAUCACAACAGUUAUAUCAUAGCAAGCAUAGUAAACACAACCAAGCAUUGAAUACAUAUAUGAAUAAGGUUUACAUUGUCUUAGUACGUAGUUUUGUUCAUGACAAAAGUAAAAUGGAAAGACGUGACUCUAACGCGCUGGCUUCUCCAAAAUCCUGGAAGUACCUGCCUACUAAAUCCCUGAGAAUACAAGCGGUUUUGAAAGAAUAUCAGCAUAAAGCUGGUGAGUUCAUAAGCAUUUAGUUUUGGUGGAAAAAUGUUUCUCUGAUCAUUUUGAAAAGUGUUCCUCAAGAAAAUCCUAUAUUUUCUUAUGAAAAGCGUGUUUGAAAGCCCAUUACGUCCAUGACUUCCUGAUUCAUACAAGAUAUGUACAAUCCAAGGAGUCGUGGAAUGAAUAUGAAUAUCCGUUAGUUACAUGUAAAAAAACAAUCCGUUUAUGAAAAGUCGAGUUAUCCUGGGAAAAUCCUAUAUUUUCCCUAAAAGUUGAUGGUUUGUUAUCCGUUCUGAACUGAGGUGUACAAGUAUCUACCAUACUUAUAUCGAUAAACGUAGUUUUCUUUUAAAAACCCUGGUUACUCCCAGUGAGGUAUGUUUGCCUUAUUAUAUAAAUAAAACUGAUAAAAGAAAACGUAUUGAACUAAAUCCUGAAGGUACUAUUAAUACCUUCCAGUAAUCAAAUCGGUUAUUACUUUGAGGUUAGUUUACUUGAUUCAUUAUUACAAAAGUAAAUCUCUGCUAUCUAGGUUGCGAGUGUCAUGACCAUAACUGACUGGAUAUGACCCGCAACGGCCAGUAUCCUUUAUGACUUUGCCACCCGUAGACCUGCCAGUCCGACUGUAGCUAGCAACAAGGUGCGGGAUUGUCAGUCUCGUAUAUAUCUAUACACAACAAUCACGUUCUCCCUACAAGAGACUCUGGUCACAAGUGCUAGUCCUACACUCUGUUUCUUGUGGUGAGUGUUACCAAGGAUGUGUCUCCAACUUAGAAUAACAAAUUUACAAGUAAUAAUAUAGAAAUUCCUUUUGUGAUUAACAUGAAUCUUUUAUAAAACGAUACAUUUUGCUACCUGAUUCAAUAGUUCAUUGCUCUAGUUUUGAAAACUGUUUCUACGAGUUGAUUUGUUAAUCGUUUGGUAAAACUGUUUUCCGUGUUAAAAAGUCAAGCUUCAUUGUGGGUACAAGCUGCUUUACAAACUAACCUUGCAAAGUUUACUUUGUUCACAAUGGAAGAAAAUCAAAAAAUUCCACAAACCGAGCGAAAUUACCAUCUUGUCCUUGACACCGAGAAAAUUCAAGUAGAGAACCGGUUACCCGAAAACAAGAAAAGCCCGAAAACAAACGAACCGGUUGCUUCUAGAACACGGUGUGUUGGCCC
RNAcentral lists this long non-coding RNA (6572 nucleotides) under Lactuca sativa (garden lettuce). Its description in RNAcentral is "long non-coding RNA (LSAT_LNC000481)". The record is from RNAcentral. Lineage: Eukaryota; Viridiplantae; Streptophyta; Magnoliopsida; Asterales; Asteraceae.